RNAcentral lists this non-coding RNA (48 nucleotides) under unclassified sequences. The record is from RNAcentral.
AGAUGUGGCCAUAGAGCGUGCCACGUGAAAAAAAGAAAGCUCAAAUGA